Molecule: ribosomal RNA, 114 nt
Filed under: uncultured bacterium
Lineage: Bacteria
Description: partial 16S ribosomal RNA
Rfam family: Bacterial small subunit ribosomal RNA
Source: RNAcentral
CCGCGUGAAGGAAGACGGCCCUAAGGGUUGUAAACUUCUUUUGUACUUGGGUAAAAUUUGUUACGUGUAAUAAAUUGAAAGUAAAGUACGAAUAAGGAUCGGCUAACUCCGUGC